UUGCUCUCUGGGUGGCGAGUGGCGGACGGGUGAGGAAUACAUCGGAAUCUACCUUUUCGUGGGGGAUAACGUAGGGAAACUUACGCUAAUACCGCAUACGACCUUCGGGUGAAAGCAGGGGACCUUCGGGCCUUGCGCGGAUAGAUGAGCCGAUGUCGGAUUAGCUAGUUGGCGGGGUAAAGGCCCACCAAGGCGACGAUCCGUAGCUGGUCUGAGAGGAUGAUCAGCCACACUGGAACUGAGACACGGUCCAGACUCCUACGGGAGGCAGCAGUGGGGAAUAUUGGACAAUGGGCGCAAGCCUGAUCCAGCCAUACCGCGUGGGUGAAGAAGGCCUUCGGGUUGUAAAGCCCUUUUGUUGGGAAAGAAAAGCAGCCAGUUAAUACCUGGUUGUUCUGACGGUACCCAAAGAAUAAGCACCGGCUAACUUCGUGCCAGCAGCCGCGGUAAUACGAAGGGUGCAAGCGUUACUCGGAAUUACUGGGCGUAAAGCGUGCGUAGGUGGUUGUUUAAGUCUGUUGUGAAAGCCCUGGGCUCAACCUGGGAAUUGCAGUGGAUACUGGGCGACUAGAGUGUGGUAGAGGGUAGUGGAAUUCCUGGUGUAGCAGUGAAAUGCGUAGAGAUCAGGAGGAACAUCCAUGGCGAAGGCAGCUACCUGGACCAACACUGACACUGAGGCACGAAAGCGUGGGGAGCAAACAGGAUUAGAUAC
Molecule: ribosomal RNA, 712 nt
Filed under: Stenotrophomonas sp. CB 286459
Lineage: Bacteria; Pseudomonadati; Pseudomonadota; Gammaproteobacteria; Lysobacterales; Lysobacteraceae
Description: bacterial SSU rRNA
Rfam family: Bacterial small subunit ribosomal RNA
Source: RNAcentral